Long non-coding RNA from Macaca fascicularis (crab-eating macaque), 1733 nucleotides. NCBI's taxonomy places the organism in Eukaryota, Metazoa, Chordata, Mammalia, Primates, Cercopithecidae. The record is from Ensembl.
UUUUUUUUUUUUUUUUUGCCUGUUAUAAUAAACUAAGUUACUGAUAGACUUUUUUCAAGUUCAAGGUAGCACAUUGACUUGGCUCAUUAACCAUGUGGAUAACAACUGAAGUCACAGAUGACUGUGGCUUGAAGCAGGAUAAAACUCUGGCAACAGAUAGCAUGAAAGAAGAGAGCACCUUAAUCUCCGUGGCAAUGCCUUCAUUCCAUAGAAGACAAUGAAACUAGUUUAAAGAAAAAAAGGCAUUGGUAUGCCCAAUCAGAAAAUAAUCUUGUAAUUCUUUCCUUUCAACAAUUACCAUUCUGAAAGGUCUUACAUGGAAAAAGAUUUCAUUGGCUAUUAUGGAUAAUUUAUCAUGACCAUUUUUUAAAUGUACUAUUUCAACCAACUUCCUUUCAGUAUUGCUAAAUUGCUAUUGAUUUUCCUCUCAACCAAUCCUAACUAAAGAUACAGCCUUCCUUUCAAUUUCCAUAAUUUUGCCCCUCCCUAAUAAUUGUUGGCUGCUACUUGGAUUUCUAAAAAGAGUAGGUGUAGUCUUUGAGCCACAAAUUCUUUUUUUAUGUUUACUGUGGAUAUACUUUAUAAAAAGCGCAUAAUGAAAAUACACUUUAGACAAGUUUGAUUUAUUCUAUUUCUGUAUUUCUCCUUCCAGGUGAAGAUCUGAGAACAGUCCAAAACUAUUUACUGAAGAAUUCACGGCCAACUCUUGGAAUCCAGUACCAUAAUUUAGCCCUGCCCUAUCCAAUAUAGUAGCCGCCAGUCAUAUGUGGGGAUUGCACCCUUGAAAUGCGUUGAGUGGGAAUAGGGAUGUGCUGUAAAUGUAAAAUACACACUGGACACUGAAGACUCAGUAUGAAAAAACAUGUAAAAUAUCUCUUCAAUAGUUACUUAUACUUACUACAUGUUGUAAUGAUAAUAUUUUGAGUACAUUAGAUUAAAAUGUUAUUAAAAUUAAUUUCAUCUCAUUCACUUUACUUCUUUAUGAGGCUAUUUGGGAACUACUUGAAAAGAAAACUGAAGAUAAACGGAAAUGACAGUCAAUCCACACAAAUAAUUGGGACUGAGUGUUUCAGAUGUAAUGGUUCUAGUUUACUAUGUUUUUAAGAUCAACUUAAAAGUGAAGAACAACAUAAAGAAUGCUUAUAUAUAUCUGCAGUAACAUCAUAAGUAUAGUUCAUGAGUCUGUUGCCUAGCCCUUCUCAAAGGUCCUUGUGGCCAUUUAGCAGACAUGGACAUUGGGAAAUCUGCAGAUACUCAAGUCCCUUCUACAAAACAGCAUAGUAUUUGCAUACAAUCAACUCACAUGUUCCUGCAUACUUUAAAUCAUCUCUAGACUACUUAUAAUACCUAAUACAAUGUAGAUGCUAUGUAAAUAGUUGUUUAACUGUAUUGGUUUUUUAUUUGUACUUUUAUUGUUGUAUUGUUAUUUUCUAUUGUUUAUUUUUCUGACAUAUUUUCAAUCCACAGUUUGUUGAAUUCGUGAAUGCAGAACCCGUGGAUACAGAGGGCCAACUGUAGUUAAUGACAUUGAAGACACCAUGCAGAAAGGUGCUGAAAACCUAGCAGUUAUCCCAGAUACCUCAAACGACACGUGUGUGCCAGACAGCAAGAGACACAAAACACAGGGGCAGCAGCAGGUUAUCACAGAAGUCAUGACUGGGGUUGGUGUUCAGCAGCAAUCAUGACCAGCUCCAUUAGUAAAGUCCUAAGUGGACAUUUUCUGGGGUAUGACC